RNAcentral lists this ribosomal RNA (253 nucleotides) under uncultured bacterium. RNAcentral's name for it is "partial 16S ribosomal RNA". It matches the Rfam family "Bacterial small subunit ribosomal RNA", at positions 524 to 776 of the family's 1533-position model. The record is from RNAcentral.
UACGUAGGUGGCAAGCGUUAUCCGGAUUUAUUGGGUGUAAAGGGCGUGUAGGCGGGAGCGCAAGUCAGAUGUGAAAACUCAGGGCUCAACCCUGAGCCUGCAUUUGAAACUGUGUUUCUUGAGUGCUGGAGAGGCAAUCGGAAUUCCGUGUGUAGCGGUGAAAUGCGUAGAUAUACGGAGGAACACCAGUGGCGAAGGCGGGUUGCUGGACAGUAACUGACGCUGAGGCGCGAAAGCGUGGGGAGCAAACAGG